AACGCAAAUUGCGCUUCUUGGAUAGGCCAGGAAGCAUGCCUCUUUGAGUAUCGUUUUCACCCCAGCUCGACUGCUUUAUUGUUUGUGUAACAACGAAUAGUGAAUCAGUUGGAGAAUGAGUUGUCUUGUCUGAAAUAGAUAAGUCACUUUAAAUGCUGUGAGUGUUUUAUAAUCGUUUUACUAUCUCAGUGUUGGUCUCAAAUAGCAAUAUUUGGGAGCUUAGUUAAUAAGCUAAUCGCUAGUAGUAAUGUGGAUAAAUUUUAUUUACAUUAUCGCUAUGGUUAGAGUGUUAGCCAAAGUAAUCUUCGUUGAGGUUGAUUAUAUAUAUGACAUUCAGUGGAAAUUAAUCUAAUACCUAAUCGUAUUAAUACCUUUUGAAUUAGAUCUCAAAUGAAGCAAGACUACCCGCUGAACUUAA
This 418-nucleotide unclassified non-coding RNA is filed under the name uncultured fungus. RNAcentral's name for it is "sequence contains ITS2". The record is from RNAcentral. Lineage: Eukaryota; Fungi.